Molecule: non-coding RNA, 45 nt
Organism: Merops nubicus (carmine bee-eater)
Lineage: Eukaryota; Metazoa; Chordata; Aves; Coraciiformes; Meropidae
Source: Rfam
CCACAGGUUUUAUCCAAAACCACUGACAUCCACAAAAAAAAAAAA